Molecule: non-coding RNA, 77 nt
Organism: Potamilus streckersoni
Lineage: Eukaryota; Metazoa; Mollusca; Bivalvia; Unionida; Unionidae
Source: the annotation of a GenBank genome assembly
GGCGCACCAGUAGCCUAAGUGGUUAGAGCGUCCGCCUCGUUAGCGGAAAGGUGCUGGUUCGAACCUAGGCUGAAUCA